CUAAGUUUGAUGGCGACCGGCGCACGGGUGAGUAACACGUAUCCAACCUGCCGAUGACUCGGGGAUAGCCUUUCGAAAGAAAGAUUAAUACCCGAUGGCAUAGUUCUUCCGCAUGGUGGAACUAUUAAAGAAUUUCGGUCAUCGAUGGGGAUGCGUUCCAUUAGGUUGUUGGCGGGGUAACGGCCCACCAAGCUUCGAUGGAUAGGGGUUCUGAGAGGAAGGUCCCCCACAUUGGAACUGAGACACGGUCCAAACUCCUACGGGAGGCAGCAUG
This 274-nucleotide ribosomal RNA is filed under the name uncultured bacterium. RNAcentral's name for it is "partial 16S ribosomal RNA". It matches the Rfam family "Bacterial small subunit ribosomal RNA", at positions 79 to 353 of the family's 1533-position model. The record is from RNAcentral.